AUUGAACGCUGGCGGAAUGCUUUACACAUGCAAGUCGAACGGCAGCACGGACUUCGGUCUGGUGGCGAGUGGCGAACGGGUGAGUAAUAUAUCGGAACGUAUCCAAUAAUGGGGGAUAACUAAUCGAAAGGUUGGCUAAUACCGCAUACGUCCUACGGGAGAAAGCUAGGGACCUUCGGGCCUGGCGUUAAUGGAGCGGCCGAUAUCGGAUUAGCUAGUUGGUGAGGUAAAGGGUCACCAAGGCGACGAUCCGUAGCUGGUCUGAGAGGACGGGCAGCCACACUGGAACUGAGACACGGUCCAGACUCCUACGGGAGGCAGCAGUGGGGAAUUUUGGACAAUGGGCGAAAGCCUGAUCCAGCCAUUCCGCGUGAGUGAAGAAGGCCUUCGGGUUGUAAAGCUCUUUCGCAAGAGGAGAAAACUUACCCUCUAACAUAGGGUGAGGUUGACGGUAUCUUGAUAAGAAGCACCGGCUAACUACGUGCCAGCAGCCGCCGUAA
Molecule: ribosomal RNA, 500 nt
Filed under: uncultured bacterium
Lineage: Bacteria
Description: partial 16S ribosomal RNA
Rfam family: Bacterial small subunit ribosomal RNA
Source: RNAcentral